CCUACGGGAGACAGCAGUGGGGAAUAUUGGGCAAUGGACGCAAGUCUGACCCAGCCACGCCGCGUGAAGGAUGAAGGCUUUCUGGUUGUUAACUUCUUUUUAUGGGGGAGUGCAGUACACUGUAUCCCUUGAUUUGUCUACGGCUAACUACGUGCCAUCAGCCGCGGCCAUACGUAGGUGGCCAGCGUUGUCCGGGUUUACUGGGUGUAAAGGGCGUGUAGCCGGGAAGACAAGUCAGGUGUGAAAGUCCGCGGCUCAACCGCGGAACUGCAGUUGAAACUGUUUGUCUUGAGUAUCGGAGAGGUAAUCGGAAUUCCUAGUGUAGCGGUGAAAUGCGUAGAUAUUAGGAAGAACACCAGUGGCGAAGGCGGAUUACUGGACGGCAACUGACGGUGAGGCGCGAAAGCGUGGGGAGCAAACAGGAUUAGAUACCCGGGUAGUC
This 442-nucleotide ribosomal RNA is filed under the name uncultured bacterium. RNAcentral describes it as "partial 16S ribosomal RNA". It matches the Rfam family "Bacterial small subunit ribosomal RNA", at positions 338 to 795 of the family's 1533-position model. The record is from RNAcentral.